This 267-nucleotide long non-coding RNA is filed under the name Theobroma cacao (cacao). Its description in RNAcentral is "long non-coding RNA (TCAC_LNC000501)". The record is from RNAcentral. Lineage: Eukaryota; Viridiplantae; Streptophyta; Magnoliopsida; Malvales; Malvaceae.
GCAAUGCCAGUUGAAUGACAAAGGAUGUGAUAAUUACAACCGUGCAUGUGCGGAGUGGGAAGUGCAAUGCCAGUUGAAUGACAAAGGAUGUGAUAAUUAUGACCGUGCAUGUGCGAAGUGGGAAAUGCAAUGCCAGUUGAAUGACAAAGGAUGUGAUAAUUACGACCGUGCAUGUGCGGAGUGGGAAGUGCAAUGCCGGUUUAAUGAUAAAGGUUGUGGGGACGGCGAUACGUAACGCCCACAAUUUCCUAAAAAUUCAGAGGUGUG